GAAAUGCGAUAAUUAAUGUGAAUUGCAGAAUUCAGUGAAUCAUCGAGUCUUUGAACGCACAUUGCGCCCCCUGGUAUUCCGGGGGGCAUGCCUGUCCGAGCGUCAUUGUUGCCCUCAAGCACGGCUUGUGUGUUGGGCUUCCGUCCCUGGCAACGGGGACGGGCCCAAAAGGCAGUGGCGGCACCAUGUCUGGUCCUCGAGCGUAUGGGGCUUUGUCACCCGCUCCCGUAGGUCCAGCUGGCAGCUAGCCUCGCAACCAAUCUUUUUAACCAGGUUGACCUCGGAUCAGGUAGGGAUACCCGCUGAACUUAAGC
RNAcentral lists this unclassified non-coding RNA (314 nucleotides) under plant metagenome. Its description in RNAcentral is "partial contains 5.8S ribosomal RNA, internal transcribed spacer 2, and large subunit ribosomal RNA". The stretch from base 1 to 105 matches the Rfam family "5.8S ribosomal RNA", at positions 50 to 154 of the family's 154-position model. The record is from RNAcentral.